CCUUGCGCUCCCGUUGAAACGCCUGGUUGUUGUUUCCCGGGGCUUGGAGGAAGGAGAAGUUACCUCUGCUCUGCCGCAGGUUUUCGGGACACCGAGAGAGGACAGCGGGAUCUGCCGAGGAAGCUUUUCUUUCCCCUGUGACCACCCGGCUGGCCGUUAAACUGAAUGGAGUAGCGGGAUAAAAAGGCAGGAGGGAUUUAACCUUAUCCAUCACCUUGUAAAGCACGGCGCGGUGAGAGCGGCAACGUGCAGCACUGCUGCGCUGGAUUGUGUAGGGAGCAAACAAGGGAAUAACACAAACAGAGAUGGUUUACUACCCGCGGGGACCUUCACACACACCACUGCUGCUACUGCUCCUCUGAACUUUUCAGUCCUAGAAGUGCGCAGACGAGAAGGGGGUUAAGAAAAAGGGGCUCGUUCUUAUCAGCAAGAAGGGAUUAAUGAUGCCGGACCAAAUCACAGUUGCAGAGUUUGUGGCAGAGACCAAUGAAGAUUACAAAUCGCCGACCGCCUCUAACUUCACCACCAGGAUGUCCCAGUGUAGGAAUACAGUGGCUUCCCUGGAGGAGGCUCUGGAUGUGGAUCGCAGCGUACUGUACAAGAUGAAGAAGUCUGUGAAAGCCAUCUACACGUCUGGGCUAGCACAUGUAGAAAAUGAGGAGCAGUACACUCAGGCCCUGGAGAAGUUUGGAGAAAACUGUGUGUACAGAGACGAUCCUGAUCUGGGCUCGGCUUUCCUCAAGUUCUCCGUCUUCACCAAGGAGCUCACAGCGCUUUUCAAAAACCUUUUCCAAAACAUGAACAACAUCAUCACCUUCCCUCUGGACAGCCUACUGAAAGGAGACCUGAAGGGUGUCAAAGGGGAUCUGAAAAAGCCCUUCGACAAAGCCUGGAAGGACUACGAAACAAAAGUCACCAAGAUAGAAAAGGAAAAGAAGGAGCAUGCGAGACAGCAUGGGAUGAUUAGGACGGAAAUCAGCGGGGCAGAAAUCGCUGAAGAGAUGGAGAAAGAGAGAAGAUUCUUCCAGCUGCAGAUGUGUGAGUAUCUCCUCAAAGUCAAUGAGAUCAAGAUCAAGAAGGGGGUGGAUCUGCUGCAGAACCUUAUCAAGUAUUUCCACGCACAGUGCAAUUUCUUUCAGGACGGUCUAAAAGCUGUGGACAACCUCAAACCUUCCAUAGAGAAGCUGGCCACAGAUCUGCACACGAUAAAGCAGGUGCAAGACGAGGAGAGGAAGCAGCUGGCUCAGUUACGAGACGUCCUCAAGUCGGCGUUACAGGUGGAGCAGAAGGAGGAUUCACAGGUGCGUCAGAGCACCACCUACAGCCUGCACCAGCCGCAGGGCAACAAGGAGCACGGCACGGAGCGCAGCGGGUACCUUCACAAGAAAAGUGAUGGGUUGAGGAAAGUGUGGCAGAAGAGGAAGUGUACAGCGAAGAACGGAUUCCUCACUAUCUCACACGGCACAGCUAACCGGCCGCCAGCUAAACUCAACCUGCUCACCUGCCAGGUGAAACACAAUCCUGAAGAGAAGCGGAGUUUUGACCUCAUAUCACAUGACAGAACUUAUCACUUUCAGGCCGAGGACGACCAGGACUGUCAAAUCUGGAUCUCGGUGCUACAGAACAGUAAGGAGGAGGCGUUAAAUCAGGCUUUUAAAGGGGACCAUCAUGUCGGCGAGAACAACAUCGUGCAGGAGCUGACCAAGGCGAUACUGGGGGAAGUCAAGCGGAUGAUAGGGAAUGAUGUUUGCUGUGACUGCGGAGCCCCGAACCCGACUUGGCUAUCCACCAACCUGGGCAUCCUCACCUGUAUUGAAUGCUCAGGGAUACACAGGGAGCUGGGAGUCCACUACUCGCGGAUCCAGUCCCUCACGCUGGAUGUACUCAGCACCUCAGAGCUCUUGCUGGCCAAGAAUGUGGGGAAUGUAGGCUUUAAUGAAAUCAUGGAGGCUUGUUUAAGCGCUGAAAACGUGGUGAAACCCAACCCGACCAGUGACAUGCAGGCGAGGAAAGACUUCAUCACAGCCAAAUACACGGAGAAACGUUUCGCCAAGAAGAAGUGUCCGGAUGCGACGUCGCGGCUUCACACGCUGUGCGAUGCAGUGAAGGCCCGAGACAUCUUCUCCCUCAUCCAGGUCUACGCUGAGGGGGUGGACCUCAUGGAGCCCAUUCCUCUGGCCAACGGGCAUGAACAAGGAGAGACGGCUCUUCAUCUAGCGGUGAGGCUGGUGGACAGAACGUCCCUUCACAUUGUCGACUUCCUCACUCAGAACAGUUUAAAUUUGGAUAAGCAGACAGCCAAAGGCAGCACAGCGCUGCACUACUGCUGCCUGACUGACAACAGUGAAUGUCUGAAGCUGCUGCUGCGGGGGAAAGCCUCCAUAGAGAUUGCUAAUGAGGCCGGGGAGACACCGCUGGAUAUCGCUCGAAGGCUCAAACACCUACAGUGUGAGGAGCUGCUGAAUCAAGCACUGGCAGGAAAAUUCAACGCCCACGUCCACGUCGAGUAUGAAUGGUGCCUGCAGCACGAAGAUCUGGAUGAGAGCGACGAGGAUCUGGAUGAGAAGCCGAGCCCCCAUCGGAGAGACGAGCGACCGGUCAGCUGUUACACCCCGAGCAGUAACUCCCACCACGUACAGUCCGGCCUGGGCUCCGCAGGCCGUGAAGCUAAGGACAAGCAGCGCCCCUUCAUGCCCAACCUGGUCAACAACGAGACUUACGGCACCAUAGUCAACACAAACCCCCCUCAGCCCACCACCAACUCUGCUCCACCUCUGCCCCCGAGGAACCUGGUCCAGUUGUCCGGCCCGGGAGGCUCAGCGUCCAGCAGUUGGAAGCCCAGUCCUUUAGACCUGACUGGCCGACAGAGGUCGUCCUCAGACCCACCCAACAUGCAUCCUCCGCUGCCGCCCAUGAGGCUCACUUCCACUGGAGCUCUGGGUCUUCCUACUGCGAUGAAGAUGGACUCCAUGAGCAAGUCAGGUCAGGGGCCACUGGGGUCCCGGGCGGUGCCACCUAAAUCUCCCGCAGGAAAUGAUAAAAGCUUCAGCAGAGGGCCCCUAAAUCGAACAGAAUCUAAAGAAAGAGCAUCUAAGGAACUGCCAGGAUGCCCUCAGAACUCCAUAGGUCAGUCUCUGCCUCCAGCCCCCAUGCCGAGGAAAGCAUACUCAAAGCAGAGGCCGAAGCGAGUGAAAGCCAUGUACAACUGUGUAGCCGACAACCCCGAUGAGCUGACCUUCUCCGAGGGCGAGGUGAUCGUGGUGGACGGAGAGGAGGACCAGGAGUGGUGGGUAUAGACGACCUUUAAAAUGUCUUUAAUGGAGAUAAUAGAUACUGUCUUCUUUAUCCUCAAGCUGGGCCACAUCGAAGGCGAGCCAAUGAGAAGAGGCGCCUUCCCCGUUACGUUUGUGCACUUCAUCGCUGACUGAAAUCCAGGACUCGGGAAGUAUCACCGACAAAACAUUCACCAUCGCCCCAGUGUUUGCAGUCGACAUCAUCGGCACCAUCAUCACCAUCUCCGCUGGCGUCUCGAGCGAGCUCGUUCAAGCGUCACUGCUGCUCCAGCGAGUCUGGGUGUCACAGGGGACUCAUCGGACUCUGUGGUUUUAAUGCUUGCAGUUAAAAAAGAAAACAAAGAUGAUUGUAGUGAAUGUCCUCUCGCAAUAAAUGCACUUUUCUUGUCUUUUCCCUUGUUGACAUGUAUGUACAGGAUUCCUCUCAUCCAUUUUCUCCAUUAUACAGACAGUCCUUAAAGCGACAGCACUGAGAAGAUCACAGUGUUGUAUUUUAACUUACUAACAGCUGUCAAUGUGAACUUAGUCCCCAUGCUUACAUUCCAUAUCUGCGCAUGAGCAAUUCUGAAAUGCCUGCUUUUAGGUGCAGCUUUCCACAUAUGUAGUAGCCCUCCCGUGUGGAGGUUUUCCUAAUGGUGCUAAGUUAACCUUAAAAUAUGCUGGAAGUUGCACCCAAGGGAGCCUUUCCCUGACCCAAUUUAAGUGACGGACUGGCAAUCGAGAGCGGGGAUGCUGCAUGUUAAAAUAGCCUCCAGCCCAUCACACCUGGGAGAGUCCGCUUUCCCGAGCCGGCAUAGAGUAAUAGGAACAUGCAUCCUCUGCAAGGCUUUCCCCCACACAUGCACACUGCCUGCACCAAUUUAAGCUGCGGGGCAGGGGGUCAUAUUCAAAAGCAACACUCCAGUUAUUCAUCCUCUUCUUCUUCUUCCUGAUGCAAUGCUGACUGGAGCUGCAGCAGGCAGUAAUUACCUUUAUGCUGAGUCCUGACACCUCAGGCCGUCUCCACCUGUCAUCUGCCUUAUUAGAGGAAUAGAAGCGUGUGCUUGUAUGUAUGAGAGUGCAUGUUUUGUCUGCACGGAAAUAAGCUGCAAAUGAAAGCAUAUUCAAAUAACAGGGAGCAAAAAAAAAAUGAGAGCGUGGGAAUGAGAUGAAAAGCGGGAGUAAGCUCUGUGACUUUUGUUGCUUCCUAGAGACACUUUUUCUUCACAGAUGAGCUAAAUAAAUUCUGUUUCCAGAGAGAGAGGGAACACCCUUCCUGCAGCUUAAGCCUCAUAUAGUACUUCUAAGACAAGUUUAUCUAAUGCAUUAUGAAAUAAAUAUUAAACAUAGUGUAAUUAACUUCAUUUUAGUUGCAGAGCAACUUUCUCUCUGUUCAUAUUGUUGAUAUUUAGGCAUUUAACCUGAAAUCGGAGCCUUUCGUGGAUUUGUGAAUGACGAGAAGAGAGGGCGGCAGCUGACGCGCACUCUCUCCACCGUGUUUAUUAUUAACUCACUGGAUUGUUAAAUUUGUUUGUGUAAAUAGAGCAGGUUUUGUUUGUGGAUAUUUAAAUGUAAAAUAUUGAAAAUAAAAGGAAGGAAAAAAAAAAAAGAUGAGCAGGUUAACCCGGGCAGUAAAUGUCUUUUAAUGCACUGUGGUGAUGAGCAGUCACACAACCUCAGCUGGGCCUGUGUGUGUGCUGUAAACAUGAAUACAGACAUUAAUGUGUGCACGCACACACACAAACACUAUUCAAAUCAUUCUCAUUAACAGUCUGUGAAUCACUGCAUUGACUCUUAACUCUGUUGUGCAAGUAAAUCGGAGAAAAAAACCCAAACUGGAAUAAUAAAAUAUGAAAUA
Pelmatolapia mariae (spotted tilapia) is the source of this 5130-nucleotide RNA transcript. It is a transcript of the gene named ArfGAP with SH3 domain, ankyrin repeat and PH domain 2a, with no coding region annotated. The record is from RefSeq and is a predicted model, not a curated record. The transcript is spliced from 29 exons. NCBI's taxonomy places the organism in Eukaryota, Metazoa, Chordata, Actinopteri, Cichliformes, Cichlidae.